RNAcentral lists this ribosomal RNA (468 nucleotides) under uncultured bacterium. RNAcentral's name for it is "partial 16S ribosomal RNA". It matches the Rfam family "Bacterial small subunit ribosomal RNA", at positions 28 to 507 of the family's 1533-position model. The record is from RNAcentral.
GACGAACGCUGGCGGUGUGCUUAACACAUGCAAGUCGAACGGAAAGGCCCUGCUUUUGUGGGGUGCUCGAGUGGCGAACGGGUGAGUAACACGUGAGUAACCUGCCCUUGACUUUGGGAUAACUUCAGGAAACUGGGGCUAAUACCGGCUAGGAGCUCCUGCUGCAUGGUGGGGGUUGGAAAGUUUCGGCGGUGGGGGAUGGACUCGCGGCUUAUCAGCUUGUUGGUGGGGUAGUGGCUUACCAAGGCUUUGACGGGUAGCCGGCCUGAGAGGGUGACCGGCGACAAUGGGACUGAGAGACGGACCAGACUGCUACGGGAGGCAGCAGUGGGGAAUAUUGCACAAUGGGCGGAAGCCUGAUGCAGCAACGCCGCGGGCGGGAUGACGGCCUUCGGGUUGUAAACCGCUUUCGCCUGUGACGAAGCGUGAGUGACGGUAAUGGGUAAAGAAGCACCGGCUAACUACGUG